RNAcentral lists this non-coding RNA (2316 nucleotides) under Pongo abelii (Sumatran orangutan). Lineage: Eukaryota; Metazoa; Chordata; Mammalia; Primates; Hominidae. The record is from RNAcentral.
GGUACAAAGCACUGGGAAUGCAACCUUGAACAAGACAAGAAUCCUGGUCUUCAAGGAACUGCGAACCUUUUUGGGGGAUAUGAUAAGAUACAUUAGGAAUCACCAUGUUAAUGGUGAUCUUUCUUGAAGGAUAUAAGUCCAGGUGCUCGGGGAGACCCACACAUAUACUCAUAGAAAUGAGUUAUUUAAAGAAGACGGUCCAGAUUCCACAGUCCAAAAAAAAAAAAAAAAAGAGGUUUGCCCUGCUUCUGAAGGAGUCAGGAUACGAAUGCAGAGGUCUUCCUGUUGGCUCACGUAUCAGACCUUCAACGUCAACAUUAAAUGUGAGUGAUGCUCUCCACUCUGUGAAUGUGGCUUUGGGUAUGGCUAAUCCACACCCUGCACUCUGGCCUUCAGAAGCCCAGGGAGAGAAGCCUCCCAGAAGCAACCUUCCAGAACCUUCUCCAUACUCCCACCGACCUCCCCAGCCCCUGUCUUCUCUUUGAAUCUCGUUGUCAAGUUCUUUCCUGGCUCCUUGAGGGGAGGUGCAGCUUUCAUCUGACCAUGCAGGCGUGCUUUGCAGUGGGUAGAGCAGUGCUUUCCUCCUCCCAGCUGCACACUGGAAUCACCUGGAGAGUCCAGAAACUUCCCGCCUCAGUGAAAGAACAUCAGUGUAUCAGCACAGCAAAGAUUCCAAAUGCCAGGCUGGAUUGCCUCCAAUUACCAGGACCUCCAGGCUUCUCCUCCUUUCAAGAACUUUCUGAUCCUGGAUCCAGUCUAAAUGUUGGUUAUAAACUCACCUGACAUCCACAGGGCCCUUCCAAAGUACUGUCAAGGCUGACUGCUGGUGCCUGGAACCUGCACACCCUCCUGGGACUCUGCAUCUCUGCUGGGGCUGGUUUCUCCUCUGAGCCACCUUAAGGAAUCCCACCCUGACCCGGUCACAGCUCAGCAUGCCUCCCUCUACUACUUGCUCAGCAUUUUGUGUCUAUCUAGACUGAAGCCUUUGCUUUCUCUCUGUGAUUGUGGUGAAAGUUCAGUUUGCUUUCCUCUCUCUAGAAUGUCAGCACGAAGGCAGAGGCAUGGUCUCCUGAGUUCCAUAACCCCAAAGCCUAACUCCCUGCCUGCCACACUGAGGGGCUCAGUAGACAUUGACUUACUAAAUUGAAUAGUUGAGUAAUAAUGCUCUUUGAAAUAAUUUGGAGUUAGAUCUUGAGCCUUGUGCGGCCAGGGGAUGCAUGAGGGCACAUCAUAAAAACUGAAGGUAACUGAGCAUGCCAGCGGUUGGGGUGAGAAAUUUGCAUGGAGCACUCCAGACACAGAGGCAGCAAAACCCAAGUGCUGGGGAGUCAGAGUGAGAGAGUGAAGGGGCACUGAGUGCCUCUUUAGGAGCUGGAUCAAAACCUGAGAUGAUCUGGCCACAUGGUGCAGACUGAGCACGCACUUGGGAGAGAAAUGGGCCGGGAGGAGAGGAGAGAGGUUCACCACAGGACAGUGGAUGGCUGGGAAUAGAAGCCCUCCCCAUGGUGGAGUAUCAGUCUGUGAAGCUGAGAGCAAGACAAAAGAAAUCAUGACUUCUGUGGGUAGCUGGGAUGGAAACCUCAGGGGUGACAGGGUCUUUAAAGGAAAUCUCAAGGAGGGCAUCAUGUUCCGGGUGUGUUCCAGGGAUGCUGAGUAAGAAAAGACCACCUUUUCUGUAUGUGUCUUUACUCUGCCACAAGGCACCUGGGCUCCUAAAUGACCAACACACAUGUGCUAUACUGGUGCCAGGAAAGAAGGGUGUUUUGUAGGAAAGUCAAGGUGAGAGGAGGUGCCCAGGACUUGGCUCCUUUCUUUGAAGGGUGAUGGUGUAAAUUCUCCAUGCUGGGGAUACUACUGAUGGAUGGAGGCGUGUCGAUCUCAUCAUUUCACAGAGUGGGGAGCUAUGGCCACGACGUGCCUAUCACACAAGUCCAGCCUCACGUCAGCUGGACACCAGCUGUUCUGACACUUGUCAGCACAUGGGGCACCCGGAAGUUCACGGUGUUCUGCAAAGAACGCCACAAAACAGUGAGCUCAACUUCUUGAAAAUCAUAAUGUGUAGCUAAGUCCAAUCCCAGAUCCUAAAAAUAAUAUGAGGUAUAGUGGCCAUUGAACAGAAAAAAUUUACAUCUUAAACUUGAAGAUAAGUACAAGUGUACCUUUUUCUACCACUGUUGUUCAGUUUUAUUACAUUGAUGAGCACCUCUGCCCACCCUAUGGGGUAACACUGUUUGAGAAUCACUGAUUUAUGAAAGUUAUAUAAAUAUUGGCUGAUCAAAUGUACAAAAUUUGCAUGAUGGCACCAUAUUGUGUAUA